ACGGCUCAGUAACACGUGGACAACCUGCCCUUAGGACGGGUAUAAACCCGGGAAACUGGGUAUAAUUCCCGAUAGGUCUCGUCUGCUGGAAUGCAUCGAGAUCCAAAGCUCCGGCGCCUAAGGAUGGGUCUGCGGCCUAUCAGGUAGUAGUGGGUGUAGCGUACCUACUAGCCUACGACGGGUACGGGUUGUGAGAGCAAGAGCCCGGAGAUGGAUUCUGAGACACUAAUCCAGGCCCUACGGGGUGCAGCAGGCGCGAAAACUUUACAAUGCUGGGAACAGCGAUAAGGGAACCUCGAGUGCCAGGUUACAAAUCUGGCUGUCGUGAUGCCUAAAAAGCAUUAUAUAGCAAGGGCCGGGCAAGACCGGUGCCAGCCGCCGCGGUAAUACCGGCGGCUCGAGUGGUGGCCACUAUUACUGGGCUUAAAGCGUUCGUAGCUGGGUUGUUAAGUCUCUUGGGAAAUCUACCGGCUUAACCGAUAGGCGUCCAAGGGAUACUGGCAUUCUAGGGACCGGGAGAGGUGAGGGGUACUUCAGGGGUAGGAGUGAAAUCUUGUAAUCCCUGGGGGACCACCUGUGGCGAAGGCGCCUCACCAGAACGGCUCCGACAGUGAGGGACGAAAGCUGGGGGAGCAAACCGGAUUAGAUACCCGGGUAGUCCCAGCCGUAAACGAUGCGCGUUAGGUGUAUCGAUGACCACGAGUCAUCGAGGUGCCGAAGGGAAACCGUGAAACGCGCCGCCUGGGAAGUACGGUCGCAAGGCUGAAACUUAAAGGAAUUGGCGGGGGAG
This 790-nucleotide ribosomal RNA is filed under the name uncultured archaeon. RNAcentral describes it as "bacterial SSU rRNA". It matches the Rfam family "Archaeal small subunit ribosomal RNA", at positions 85 to 876 of the family's 1478-position model. The record is from RNAcentral.